AACUGCUAGUCACUUUAAAUUAUUCUGCAUUUCAAACAGGAAAUCAUCCAAUUAGACUAACAGCUGCAGAGAUUGGAAUAAGCCUUGCAUAUUACAAAAUUAAAGAAAAUGCAGCUGAGUACUAUGGAAAGGAGUUAAGAUGCCUACAGAUACUCUACAGCAGCUUUUGGCAGUGUACAUCCCAUGUCCAUGAAGAGACAGGACUCAUUUCUGAAGAGGCUGUUCCUGCAGGAAUGUCAGGUUUGUCUCCUAGUUUGAACUGAUGCACCUCUGCAAACAGGAGAGCAUCAGUGCUCUUACCAAAAACAUUUUUGUUCUGAGAGGUAAAAGGCAGUGGAAGGCUGCAAUUAGUUCCCCUGAACAGACUUGCUAGCCCCUGUUAGCACUACUUGUCUGCAGCAAGCAUGGACAAGAGCACAGAAGAGGCUAUAACUCAGUGGUUCUUUCUACCUGGGACCAUUUACAGUGGAAGCUUUGAGUCAGAGUUGCAGGGCAAUUCAGUGAUGAACUCUGGGAUGAAAUUCAGCCACUUCUUUCCCAUUUGGAUGCUCUGAGCAGUUUCUCCUAACAAACUGCUUUAAUUUGUAAGCAGAGACAAAACAGAAGCAAAUAGCCAGUCUUUGUGGCUGCCUGAAUUCAGAGAUAUAUAUAAAAAAUCCUACUAGGAAAACCAGCAUUUACUAUUGCAAAGGAAUAAGAUAUACUCUUCAGCAUACAAAGGAUAUUUUGCUUCCAGCCUUGUUCAAGUCCUGCAUUGAAAGGCACCCAUCCAUCCUACUGUAAAAUUGAAUACAUUAUUUAUUAUUACUGUGAUGAAACUGUGGGAUCUUUAAUUUAAUCAGAAUUACUAGAUGGCAGAUAUCUGACUACUUAAUGACCUUGUAUUUACUAAGAAAAAAACUCUGUUGCAUAAAUGACAGAGAUGUAAUGGCAAGAAUUCAUUGUGGAUAACAGAGCUAUAGAAGAGCUUACCAUAUAAUGUAUGACUCAGAUUUCACUGCUUUUUGGCAUUCAACAGUAACAUUGCUAAAAUAUCACUUAAAUAAAUGUCAGCAGUUAAUCACAAUGGAUGUAAUGUUAUUAAGGGAGGGGGAAAUCACCCUUUUCUGUAUGUUUUCCUCCAAGCCUGCACAGGAAAUAAGGAACAGAAAAGAUGUCAGUUAAAUUGUGUUUAUCUGUUCCAUCUAACUCAAAAGUAGAGAGAUAUUAGUCAAUAAUAAAGCAUAAUGGAGAAGAAGAAGGAGGAGGAGAAGAAGAAGAAGAAGAAGAAGAAGAAGAAGAAGAAGAAGAAGAAGAAGAAGAAGAAGAAGAAGGAGAAGGAGAAGAAGAAGAGGAGGAGGAGGAAGAUCAAGAAGAAGAAGGAGGAUGAGUGGAAAUGAAUUUGCAAUCAGAGUACCUUACUUCUCCAGCCUCCCUUGACUCCCUUAAGUAGUUUACCUGGUGGCGUUAUAAUAAUCAGUUAUAUUAAUUUAUUUUAAAUAUAAAAUAUUCAUAAAUUUUCUAUUUUAGGAGCAGAUGACCUCCAAAAUAUUGGCUGUGCCAAACCUUACAAAUUCUGAAAAUCUCUUUAUGUCUAAUAAAGACUAUGCAACAUCAAAUCUGGAAAAUCAGAGCUUUACUGAUUAAUCCUCUAUUUUCUUUUGAGAGGAACAAAAGUCCCAUGUUCAUUUAUGCUUGUACAGGUCUUCCCCUUGAAGAACAAAGCACAUUAAAAUUCAGUGCUGUAAUGCUUCUUGUGCUCUAAGUAAAUGUCCUUAAACAUCCUGAGUGAUGGGGAACAAUGGGGUUUCAAAAGAUGUUCAGAGGUGCCAUGGAAAUCUAUGGGGAAUCCAGGGAGGAAAUUCAGAUCUACCCACAUUAUAUUUUGCUUGAAAGACAUAAUUUAUGUCCAUUCAUACUUUCCUGCUCAUCUAGUUUGCUCUUCCCUUCAGAAGCCACAAACAAAGAGUAAAAAUUGAGGCAGUCCUGCUGUCUAAUCUCUCAACCAUCCUUCAGUAACUGACCAUGAAUGUCAACAGUUAAAGAAGCCUGUUCCAGGAGCAAUUAUUCAUAAAUCCCAUUAUCCUGAACAGAAAUCUGACAUAGAGAAAUAAAAAAAAAAAAAAAAAAUCUAGCUACUGAGUUUAGCACUAGCCCAGACAAGAAAGCUGCCCAGUACUUCCAGACAAGAAAGCUGUCCAGUAUUUCCAGUUUUAAAGACAGUUUGUGGUACAGACAAUACUUUUAAAUACAGUUUUGUGUGAAAAAAUUAUGCUUGUAUUUUAUAUGAGAAAAAGGAUGAAGGAACCAAGGAGGAAGGAUAAACUGUGAGACCCAAACAAGGGAAUGAAGGAAAUUUUAGGGGGGAAGGUGUAAGCAAUAUGCAAAGUUCAGGUUUUAUACUUGAUACUGAGAAAAUAAACAUCAGUAAAGAAAGGGACAGUUGUUUGGGGAACACAUAGUAUUUCUUUUUCGGUACAAAAUCCAAAAAUUUGACCUCAUCAGCAAUUAUCAAAGGUACCAAAUUCAAAGCUGGAAGAUAUAGAAACAUUUUUUCUUUCCAACCCCAAACCAAAAUUCAUUGAAGUGAGUCCCUGCAAGCUGCUUCAUCUGUGGGCAAAUGUUACUUUUUUAAUAGUAACACCUUCAGACAGAAAAAGAACAGAUUUAUAAACCAUGCAAUAUAUGGGUAGUAUCCUACAGAAAUAACUGAAGGACCAAAUAUGUUUUCUUUAUAUCAUCUGGAGUGUUUUUAUUUACAAAUGCUUUUUGUUCAGUGUUGUUACAAUAGAUUCUCUUAUACCACUGGUUCUUGGGCAUUCAAUCAGCUGCACUCUGUAUGCUUUGAGCUUACUAUCUUUCAAUCUUGCAACCUGUUGAAAACAUAUUUAAGAUCUAUAUUUUAUUGUCUCAGAGAAAGAUUGCCAGUACUCAUUUGAAACCAUCUCUGAGAACAUUAUCAAGUACUGCUUUUCUUGAUACUGUGGGACGUAUCUCUAGGUGUCAAUCUGGCCCUGUCUGCUGCCUGUUGAUAAGCCAGAUACCACAUACACCUUGUCACUAUGCCAGUAUUUGCCACAAGCAAACUGAAGCUCAUCUUCUGGCUCUUACAGAUUGCAGUGUGAAGUGCAGAGCAGAGAUAAUAGUGGAAGGCAUUCUACAAAGUGUUUAGGUCAUUGAGUCUGAAUAAAUAUUAGCUCAGGCCCAUUGGAAUUUCAUUUAAUGUUUUUAUAAUUUCUUUCAUUUCUUUUGGGAUUUCAGAUGUUCAUAAACACGUGAAAUAUGAAAUGUCAACUGAAAAUAAAACUUACAUUCUUACAGGUUACAGACACAGAAAUAUAUGACAAACUGGAAAUACAAGCAAGUAUUUAAGGGUGUAAAUUAUCAGGUUUUAUCAAUUUAUUUAAAGCACCAUACUUGACAUUACAGCUAUGCUGAUACAGAAUGAUAUCUUGAACAACUUUGCCCUCUUUUGCUCUCCUAUGGAGAACAGUAUUUUCCAGCAGAAGGUCAGGAAGGAAAAUGCAUCCUUUAGCUUCCAUCUGGUUUUCAAUAAAGUGGAAAUGGCAUCUGUCCUAAAUAUGAAGUAUAUUCCAAAAGAUAUUCUUAACAAAGUAAAAGGCUGA
Motacilla alba alba is the source of this 3605-nucleotide long non-coding RNA. RefSeq lists it as uncharacterized. The transcript is spliced from 5 exons. Lineage: Eukaryota; Metazoa; Chordata; Aves; Passeriformes; Motacillidae. The record is from RefSeq and is a predicted model, not a curated record.